CCUACAUUUCCCUCAAUUUCUACGGCGUACACCUCGGAUGUCCCAAACAAAAAAAGGACAAGGAAAGAAUGCCGAAAACACCGUACACAGAAGAUUUUCAAAUAUGAAGAGAUAGUAGACAGGAGAGUUGUAAAUGAAAAAGAAGUUAAAGUCAAGUGGAAGCCCUGCUCGAUAUGGUAUGUAGUAACAACUUUGUUGGACCAGAACAGACAUUUAUAUUGUUGAUAAAUAGUUAUCACCUCAGUUUGAAUUCAUGUAUUUGGACUAAAGUAAAUUGGGAGCUUUUAGCUGAGGAGCUUGAUAGCAGUCCACCUCCAAAGUUCAUUAUGAGAUUUGGAGGUGGACAUGGUCAACACUUUUAAGAGUAGGCAUAAGACUUUACU
Long non-coding RNA from Oreochromis aureus, 383 nucleotides. RefSeq lists it as uncharacterized. NCBI's taxonomy places the organism in Eukaryota, Metazoa, Chordata, Actinopteri, Cichliformes, Cichlidae. The transcript is spliced from 3 exons. The record is from RefSeq and is a predicted model, not a curated record.